ACUCUAAUGAGACUGCCGGUGGACAAACCGGAGGAAGGUGGGGAUGACGUCAAGUCCUCAUGGCCCUUAUGGGUAGGGCUUCACACGUCAUACAAUGGUCGGUACAGAGGGUUGCCAACCCGCGAGGGGGAGCUAAUCCCACAAAGCCGAUCGUAGUCCGGAUCGCAGUCUGCAACUCGACUGCGUGAAGUCGGAAUCGCUAGUAAUCGUGGAUCAGCAUGUCACGGUGAAUACGUUCCCGGGUCUU
Molecule: ribosomal RNA, 247 nt
Filed under: uncultured Rhodocyclaceae bacterium
Lineage: Bacteria; Pseudomonadati; Pseudomonadota; Betaproteobacteria; Rhodocyclales; Rhodocyclaceae
Description: partial 16S ribosomal RNA
Rfam family: Bacterial small subunit ribosomal RNA
Source: RNAcentral